GGUUCCCGUAGUGUAGUGGUUUAUCACGUUCGCUUCACACGCAAAGGUCCCCGGUUUCGACCCCGGACGGAACCA
Trichonephila inaurata madagascariensis is the source of this 75-nucleotide non-coding RNA. The record is from the annotation of a GenBank genome assembly. Lineage: Eukaryota; Metazoa; Arthropoda; Arachnida; Araneae; Nephilidae.